Molecule: ribosomal RNA, 3077 nt
Filed under: Praeconvoluta castinea
Lineage: Eukaryota; Metazoa; Xenacoelomorpha; Acoela; Convolutidae
Description: eukaryotic LSU rRNA
Rfam family: Eukaryotic large subunit ribosomal RNA
Source: RNAcentral
AAGGGGAGGAAGAGAAACUAACCAGGAGUCCUUUAGUAACUGCGAGUGAAACAGGAGUAGCCCAGCUCCGAAUUGUCUCCGGACAACGUGUGGAGUAUGGGAUUGGUUUAUUAUUUAUUCGUUGAUGACUUCAAGUUUGCUGGAUUGCAACACUUUAUAGGGUGAUAGUCCCUCGUUGUCUGAUACGUUUAUUUAUUUGGCCAGUCCCUUGAGUCGAGUUGUUUGAAAAUGCAAUUCAAAGUAGGAGAUAUGCCUCUUCUAAGGCUUUAUAUGAAGUACGGGUCCGAUAGCGAACAAGUACCGUGAGGGAAAGUUGAAAAGCACUUUGAAAAGAGAGUGAAAAGCACGUGAAACCGUAGAGAUGCAAACGUUUGGGUUGCUAUUAUGCUUCGAUACUGACUAUUGUCGGUGCACGUGAAGCUGGUGUUCAGUGAGACUUUCGCGACGUUCAUUUUUGCCUACAUCUUCUUCGGUCGUAUGUAGCGUUUUUGAUAAACAGGUGAUGUGUUGCUUAAUCUUACUAGUACUACUCUAAAGAGCAUCUAUUCAGUAGCCUAAUCGACCCGUCUUGAAACACGGACCAAGGAGUCUGAGUAUACUGCAAGCUUAAACGUAGGUAAAUUCGUUAGAGCGCAAUGAAAGUGAAAACUAGCCUAGCUAGUACUUGUGGUGAUGGUUUGCUUAUGCAAACAGGCAACCGCGGACGGUCAACCAAUUGAGGUUGCACUGAUCUGGAGUAGUAUGCUCAGGACCCGAAAGAUGGUGAACUAUGCUUGGACAGGGUGAAGCCACGGGAAACCAUGGUGGAGGCCCGCAGCGGUUCUGACGUGCAAAUCGAUCGUCUGAUCCGAGUAUAGGGGCGAAAGACUAAUCGAACCAUCUAGUAGCUGGUUCCUUCCGAAGUUUCCCUCAGGAUAGCAAAAGUUGAAUUUAAACAGUUUUAUCGGGUAAAGCGAAUGAUUAGAGGCCUGGGGGAAGCCUAUUCUUCCACCUAUUCUCAAACUUUAAAUCGGUAAGAUGCUUUUGUGUCUUUUUUGCACAUUGGCAAUGCGAAUGUUUGACUUUUAGUGGGCCGUUUUUGGUAAGCAGAACUGGCGAUGUGGGAUGAACCAAACGCGGGGUUAAAGAGCCUAAUGACAUGCUCAUGAGCAACCACAAAAGGUGUUGAUUGAUAUAGACAGCAGGACGGUGGCCAUGGAAGUUGGAAUCCGCUAAGGAGUGUGUAACAACUCACCUGCCGAAUCAAUCAGCCCUGAAAAAGGAUGGCGUUGGAGCAUGUAUCUUAUACCCCGCCGUGAACUGUAAAGACUUGCAUAUUAUAUGCUUGAAUACGGUAGUGAAAUAUUAAUUAUCAGUUCACGAGUAGGAAGGUAUGGAUGUCGCGCUGAAUUGUUGCCGUGAGGCUGCAUGAAGCGGUAUCUAGUGCAGAUCUUGGUGGUAGUAGCAAACACUCAAGUGAGAUCCUUGAGGGCCGAAGUGGGGAAGGUUUCCAUGUGAACAGCAUUUGGACAUGGGUUAGUCGGUCCUAAGCAGCAGGCGAAGGCUAUUUGAAGGGAGGUUUUACCUCCAAGCUGCGAAAGGGAGUCGGGUCAAUAUUCCCGAACCUUGCAUAUCGGUAUACGGCGGCAACGCUAAUGUGUCUGGAUAAGGUAGUACGAUCCCGGGGAAGAGUUCUCUUUUCUUUUUGACAGUAAGCUUACCUUGGAAUGGAUUCAGUCCGCGAUAAGGUAUAAUGACUGACAGAGCACAGCAGCAUUUGCUGUGUCCCGAGUGGUCGUAAUGCUCCAUGAAAAUCCAGGAACAAUAAUACCAGUAUGCAUGGCCGUACCCACAACCGCAUCAGGUUCCCAAGGUGAGUAGCCUCUGGUCUUGAAACAGUGUAGGUAAGGGAAGUCGGCAAAUUAGAUCCGUACCUUUGGAAUAAGGAUUGCCUCUGAGGAUUGGGUGUAGUAAGCCAUAUAUUUGAAGUUGCAAAUUGUUGUUGGUCGGGAGGCCCUUUACUGGGUGUCCUGCUGACGGGAUUAGUAGCGGAUGAUGUACGGUACUUAUUGCUAUACAUUAAACAAUCAAGCUCAGAACUGGCUUGGACAAGGGGAAUCCGACUGUCUAAUUAAAACAAAGCAUUGCGAUGGCUGGCGAGUGGUGUUGACGCAAUGUGAUUUCUGCCCAGUGCUCUGAAUGUCAAAGUGAAGAAAUUCAAAUAAGCGCGGGUAAACGGCGGGAGUAACUAUGACUCUCUUAAGGUAGCCAAAUGCCUCGUCAUCUAAUUAGUGACGCGCAUGAAUGGAUUAACGAGAUUCCCGCUGUCCCUAUCUACUAUUCAGCGAAACCACAGCUAGGGGAACGGGCCUAGCAUUAUCAGCGGGGAAAGAAGACCCUGUUGAGCUUGACUCUAGUCUGACAUUGUGAAGUGGCUCGGAAGGUGUAGAAUAGGUGGGAGCUUCGGCGACAGUGAAAUACCACUACUUUCGGUGUCAUUUUACUUAUCUGGUUAAAUGGUAAUGCAUUCAAUUGCUAUUUUUUAGUUGAAGGUCUUGUGCUUAGGUGGGAGAUCGGACUUACCCAGAGACAUUGUCAGGUGGGGAGUUUGACUGGGGCGGUACAUCUGUCAAAAGAUAACGCAGGUGUCCUAAGGCUGACUCAGUGAGGACAGAAACCUUGCAUAGAGCAAUAGGGCAAAUGUCAGCUUGAUCUGGAUUUUCAGUGUGAAUACAGACUGCGAAAGGGGGGCCUCUCGUUUCUUUUGAUUUUACAGGCUUUAAGCAAGAGGCCCAGAAAAUAGGCCGAAGUGUAGAAGGCAGUUGAGAAGACAGAAGACAGUGGGGGAUCAGAAAUGUCUGAUUCUGACGCUGAAAAGGAAUUUAUUUCUCCAGAAUUGCAACUUCAAAAUGGAAUGCAGGAACAGAAAGCAACAAGUUCAUGGGAAAUUCAAUUGCGAAGCAGAAUUCGCAAAGUGUUGGAUUGUUCACCCACUAACAGGGAACGUGAGCUGGGUUUAGUCCGUCGUGAGACAGGUUAGUUUUACCCUACUGAUUAUACCAACCAUUGGAGUAGUAUUUCCACUCAGUACGAGAGGA